Molecule: ribosomal RNA, 2903 nt
Filed under: Escherichia coli KTE2
Lineage: Bacteria; Pseudomonadati; Pseudomonadota; Gammaproteobacteria; Enterobacterales; Enterobacteriaceae
Description: bacterial LSU rRNA
Rfam family: Bacterial large subunit ribosomal RNA
Source: RNAcentral
UUAAGCGACUAAGCGUACACGGUGGAUGCCCUGGCAGUCAGAGGCGAUGAAGGACGUGCUAAUCUGCGAUAAGCGUCGGUAAGGUGAUAUGAACCGUUAUAACCGGCGAUUUCCGAAUGGGGAAACCCAGUGUGAUUCGUCACACUAUCAUUAACUGAAUCCAUAGGUUAAUGAGGCGAACCGGGGGAACUGAAACAUCUAAGUACCCCGAGGAAAAGAAAUCAACCGAGAUUCCCCCAGUAGCGGCGAGCGAACGGGGAGCAGCCCAGAGCCUGAAUCAGUGUGUGUGUUAGUGGAAGCGUCUGGAAAGGCGCGCGAUACAGGGUGACAGCCCCGUACACAAAAAUGCACAUACUGUGAGCUCGAUGAGUAGGGCGGGACACGUGGUAUCCUGUCUGAAUAUGGGGGGACCAUCCUCCAAGGCUAAAUACUCCUGACUGACCGAUAGUGAACCAGUACCGUGAGGGAAAGGCGAAAAGAACCCCGGCGAGGGGAGUGAAAAAGAACCUGAAACCGUGUACGUACAAGCAGUGGGAGCCUCUUAAUGGGGUGACUGCGUACCUUUUGUAUAAUGGGUCAGCGACUUAUAUUCUGUAGCAAGGUUAACCGAAUAGGGGAGCCGAAGGGAAACCGAGUCUUAACUGGGCGUUAAGUUGCAGGGUAUAGACCCGAAACCCGGUGAUCUAGCCAUGGGCAGGUUGAAGGUUGGGUAACACUAACUGGAGGACCGAACCGACUAAUGUUGAAAAAUUAGCGGAUGACUUGUGGCUGGGGGUGAAAGGCCAAUCAAACCGGGAGAUAGCUGGUUCUCCCCGAAAGCUAUUUAGGUAGCGCCUCGUGAACUCAUCUCCGGGGGUAGAGCACUGUUUCGGCAAGGGGGUCAUCCCGACUUACCAACCCGAUGCAAACUGCGAAUACCGGAGAAUGUUAUCACGGGAGACACACGGCGGGUGCUAACGUCCGUCGUGAAGAGGGAAACAACCCAGACCGCCAGCUAAGGUCCCAAAGUCAUGGUUAAGUGGGAAACGAUGUGGGAAGGCCCAGACAGCCAGGAUGUUGGCUUAGAAGCAGCCAUCAUUUAAAGAAAGCGUAAUAGCUCACUGGUCGAGUCGGCCUGCGCGGAAGAUGUAACGGGGCUAAACCAUGCACCGAAGCUGCGGCAGCGACGCUUAUGCGUUGUUGGGUAGGGGAGCGUUCUGUAAGCCUGCGAAGGUGUACUGUGAGGUAUGCUGGAGGUAUCAGAAGUGCGAAUGCUGACAUAAGUAACGAUAAAGCGGGUGAAAAGCCCGCUCGCCGGAAGACCAAGGGUUCCUGUCCAACGUUAAUCGGGGCAGGGUGAGUCGACCCCUAAGGCGAGGCCGAAAGGCGUAGUCGAUGGGAAACAGGUUAAUAUUCCUGUACUUGGUGUUACUGCGAAGGGGGGACGGAGAAGGCUAUGUUGGCCGGGCGACGGUUGUCCCGGUUUAAGCGUGUAGGCUGGUUUUCCAGGCAAAUCCGGAAAAUCAAGGCUGAGGCGUGAUGACGAGGCACUACGGUGCUGAAGCAACAAAUGCCCUGCUUCCAGGAAAAGCCUCUAAGCAUCAGGUAACAUCAAAUCGUACCCCAAACCGACACAGGUGGUCAGGUAGAGAAUACCAAGGCGCUUGAGAGAACUCGGGUGAAGGAACUAGGCAAAAUGGUGCCGUAACUUCGGGAGAAGGCACGCUGAUACGUAGGUGAAGCCACUUGCUGAUGGAGCUGAAAUCAGUCGAAGAUACCAGCUGGCUGCAACUGUUUAUUAAAAACACAGCACUGUGCAAACACGAAAGUGGACGUAUACGGUGUGACGCCUGCCCGGUGCCGGAAGGUUAAUUGAUGGGGUUAGCGGUAACGCGAAGCUCUUGAUCGAAGCCCCGGUAAACGGCGGCCGUAACUAUAACGGUCCUAAGGUAGCGAAAUUCCUUGUCGGGUAAGUUCCGACCUGCACGAAUGGCGUAAUGAUGGCCAGGCUGUCUCCACCCGAGACUCAGUGAAAUUGAACUCGCUGUGAAGAUGCAGUGUACCCGCGGCAAGACGGAAAGACCCCGUGAACCUUUACUAUAGCUUGACACUGAACAUUGAGCCUUGAUGUGUAGGAUAGGUGGGAGGCUUUGAAGUGUGGACGCCAGUCUGCAUGGAGCCGACCUUGAAAUACCACCCUUUAAUGUUUGAUGUUCUAACGUUGGCCCCUAAUCGGGGUUGCGGACAGUGUCUGGUGGGUAGUUUGACUGGGGCGGUCUCCUCCUAAAGAGUAACGGAGGAGCACGAAGGUUGGCUAAUCCUGGUCGGACAUCAGGAGGUUAGUGCAAUGGCAUAAGCCAGCUUGACUGCGAGCGUGACGGCGCGAGCAGGUGCGAAAGCAGGUCAUAGUGAUCCGGUGGUUCUGAAUGGAAGGGCCAUCGCUCAACGGAUAAAAGGUACUCCGGGGAUAACAGGCUGAUACCGCCCAAGAGUUCAUAUCGACGGCGGUGUUUGGCACCUCGAUGUCGGCUCAUCACAUCCUGGGGCUGAAGUAGGUCCCAAGGGUAUGGCUGUUCGCCAUUUAAAGUGGUACGCGAGCUGGGUUUAGAACGUCGUGAGACAGUUCGGUCCCUAUCUGCCGUGGGCGCUGGAGAACUGAGGGGGGCUGCUCCUAGUACGAGAGGACCGGAGUGGACGCAUCACUGGUGUUCGGGUUGUCAUGCCAAUGGCACUGCCCGGUAGCUAAAUGCGGAAGAGAUAAGUGCUGAAAGCAUCUAAGCACGAAACUUGCCCCGAGAUGAGUUCUCCCUGACUCCCUGAGAGUCCUGAAGGAACGUUGAAGACGACGACGUUGAUAGGCCGGGUGUGUAAGCGCAGCGAUGCGUUGAGCUAACCGGUACUAAUGAACCGUGAGGCUUAACCUU